Molecule: long non-coding RNA, 833 nt
Organism: Sebastes umbrosus (honeycomb rockfish)
Lineage: Eukaryota; Metazoa; Chordata; Actinopteri; Perciformes; Sebastidae
Exons: 3
Source: RefSeq, a predicted model, not a curated record
ACAUCCAUCAUUUGUUUUCUUUCACAUUUGUUUUCAGUAAAGACACACUGUAAUUGUGUAUUUAACAAUGGCAGAGAACUAACUCAAAGCCUUUUAGAUAUGAAAGCAAAAGAUUUAGUCAAAAAAAUGCAAAAAAUAUGAAAAUAUCGAAUGCCUUAUUUGUUCCCAGAGCUCCCUCAGCCAGGCUGCGGCCCUUUAAAUCGUCCACAUCAACCGUUUUGUCUGUGAGUAUAAAAAGAAAAAUAACAGAGUGGUGACAAAAUGGCACUUGAGUUUGAUUAUCAGGCUCACAGACACAUCAGAGCUCAGUCCACUGCUGGUUCCCAUGGCAACACGCUCAGAGGUAACAGAUGUACUCAAAUAUCCCAUUAGCCACUAGGAGUCCAACAAGGACCCAAUGUGUAUCACCAUUUAAGAGCAGUGAAUAUCGACAGCGGUAUAAAAUAGAUAUAUAAGAAGUCAUGCAGUCAUGAUGAACAAAUCAUGAUGGCAUACAUCUGUGGUGUUGAUGUACCUACUGUACAUAAUAUCAAUUUAUAUUAAUUUCUGAAAACCUUUUAAUUCUAAGGAGAAUAUAUUCAGGAACCACAAAUGUAAACUUUAUGCAAAUGACCAGAAGGUGGCGCCUUUCAACUGUAUAAAGAUGGAAAGGCUGGGAGGGAUCCAAAGUGGGAGAGUAGUUAUUAAUGUAACAUAGAGUACUAGAAUUAAAUGAGACAGGUGAAAAGUAAGAAAUACAAAGGAAAUUAAUAAGCAAUGUUAGAUUCACUUGUGAAUGGUCUCUUUCCAAAAAUACUAUGGUAUUCAGCUAAAUAUUUAAAAUCCAUCUCCAG